GGACCCCAGCAUGAUGGGACGGCUCGGGAAGGUGGAGAAGCAGCUGCUCUGUGCAGACCCCUCACACUCCACCGUGAGCCUCCCACCCCCGGCCUGGGUG
This 100-nucleotide small RNA is filed under the name Pan troglodytes (chimpanzee). RNAcentral's name for it is "processed transcript". The record is from RNAcentral. Lineage: Eukaryota; Metazoa; Chordata; Mammalia; Primates; Hominidae.